Molecule: ribosomal RNA, 633 nt
Filed under: uncultured bacterium
Lineage: Bacteria
Description: bacterial SSU rRNA
Rfam family: Bacterial small subunit ribosomal RNA
Source: RNAcentral
AGCGGCGGACGGGUGAGUAACACGUGGGUAACCUGCCUGACAGAUGGGGAUAACGCCUGGAAACGGGUGCUAAUCCCGAAUAGGAACCGUCUUCGCAUGGAGAGGGUUUGAAAGGCGCUCUGGCGUCGCUGACAGAUGGGCCCGCGGCGCAUUAGCCAGUUGGUGGGGUAACGGCUCACCAAAGCGACGAUGCGUAGCCGACCUGAGAGGGUGGACGGCCACACUGGGACUGAGACACGGCCCAGACUCCUACGGGAGGCAGCAGUAGGGAAUCUUCCGCAAUGGGCGCAAGCCUGACGGAGCAACGCCGCGUGAGUGAAGACGGUCUUCGGAUUGUAAAGCUCUGUCAUGCGGGACGAGCGACCGGGAGAGGGAAUGCUCCCGGAGAGACGGUACCGCAGGAGGAAGCCCCGGCUAACUACGUGCCAGCAGCCGCGGUAAUACGUAGGGGGCAAGCGUUGUCCGGAAUGACUGGGCGUAAAGCGCGCGCAGGCGGUUUUCUACGUCUGGGGUGAAAGUCCAGGGCUCAACCCUGGGAUGGCCUUGGAAACGGGGAGACUUGAGGGUCGGAGAGGCAAGGGGAAUUCCACGUGUAGCGGUGAAAUGCGUAGAGAUGUGGAGGAACACCAGUGG